ACAUUGGUGGUUCAGUGGUAGAAUUUUCACCUUCUAUAUGGGAGACCUGGGUUUGAUUCCUGGCCAGUGUA
Molecule: transfer RNA, 71 nt
Filed under: Loxodonta africana (African savanna elephant)
Lineage: Eukaryota; Metazoa; Chordata; Mammalia; Proboscidea; Elephantidae
Rfam family: tRNA
About the family: Transfer RNA (tRNA) molecules are approximately 80 nucleotides in length. Their secondary structure includes four short double-helical elements and three loops (D, anti-codon, and T loops).
Source: Rfam by way of RNAcentral